RNAcentral lists this ribosomal RNA (373 nucleotides) under uncultured organism. Its description in RNAcentral is "bacterial SSU rRNA". It matches the Rfam family "Bacterial small subunit ribosomal RNA", at positions 526 to 896 of the family's 1533-position model. The record is from RNAcentral.
CGUAGGUGGCAAGCGUUGUCCGGAGUUACUGGGUGUAAAGGGCGUGUAGGCGGGUUAAUAAGUCAGAUGUGAAAUUCCAUGGCUCAACUGUGGCGCUGCAUCUGAAACUAUUAAUCUUGAGUGAUGGAGAGGAAAGCGGAAUUCCUAGUGUAGCGGUGAAAUGCGUAGAUAUUAGGAGGAACACCAGUGGCGAAGGCGGCUUUCUGGACAUUAACUGACGCUGAGGCGCGAAAGCGUGGGGGAGCAAACAGGAUUAGAUACCCUGGUAGUCCACGCUGUAAACGAUGGAUACUAGGUGUAGGAGGUAUCGACCCCUUCUGUGCCGGAGUUAACACAAUAAGUAUCCCACCUGGGGAGUACGGCCGCAAGGUUG